AAAUUGAAGAGUUUGAUCAUGGCUCAGAUUGAACGCUGGCGGCAGGCCUAACACAUGCAAGUCGAACGGUAACAGGAAGCAGCUUGCUGCUUCGCUGACGAGUGGCGGACGGGUGAGUAAUGUCUGGGAAACUGCCUGAUGGAGGGGGAUAACUACUGGAAACGGUAGCUAAUACCGCAUAACGUCGCAAGACCAAAGAGGGGGACCUUCGGGCCUCUUGCCAUCGG
RNAcentral lists this ribosomal RNA (227 nucleotides) under Escherichia coli. Its description in RNAcentral is "partial 16S ribosomal RNA". It matches the Rfam family "Bacterial small subunit ribosomal RNA", at positions 1 to 224 of the family's 1533-position model. Lineage: Bacteria; Pseudomonadati; Pseudomonadota; Gammaproteobacteria; Enterobacterales; Enterobacteriaceae. The record is from RNAcentral. RNAcentral also lists the same sequence under 1 other name.